AGCUUUGCACAGUGGCGAGUAUCACAGCCAGUGAGGUUUAUCUGAGGCACAACUAUUGCUAAUUGAAAACUUUUUCCAAUACCCUACCACGAUGACUUGCAACAUAGUCAGCAUUGACAAUUUUUGACAGUCUCUAUGGAGA
RNAcentral lists this small nuclear RNA (142 nucleotides) under Aotus nancymaae (Ma's night monkey). RNAcentral's name for it is "U4 spliceosomal RNA (ENSANAG00000011334.1)". It matches the Rfam family "U4 spliceosomal RNA". Rfam says of the family: U4 small nuclear RNA (U4 snRNA) is a component of the major U2-dependent spliceosome. The structure of U4 snRNA from yeast and human has been reported. Lineage: Eukaryota; Metazoa; Chordata; Mammalia; Primates; Aotidae. The record is from Rfam by way of RNAcentral.